This 207-nucleotide ribosomal RNA is filed under the name uncultured bacterium. RNAcentral's name for it is "partial 16S ribosomal RNA". It matches the Rfam family "Bacterial small subunit ribosomal RNA", at positions 568 to 774 of the family's 1533-position model. The record is from RNAcentral.
CGCGCAGGCGGCCAGGUCAGUCGAAUGUGAAAGCCCCCGGCUCAACUGGGGAGGGUCAUUCGAUACUGCCUGGCUCGAAGAUAGGAGAGGGAAGCGGAAUUUCAGGUGUAGUGGUGAAAUGCGUAGAUAUCUGAAGGAACACCAGUGGCGAAGGCGGCUUUCUGGCCUAUUCUUGACGCUGAGGCGCGAAAGCUAGGGGAGCGAACG